This is a long non-coding RNA of Rosa rugosa (rugosa rose), 1690 nucleotides long. RefSeq lists it as uncharacterized. The transcript is spliced from 7 exons. NCBI's taxonomy places the organism in Eukaryota, Viridiplantae, Streptophyta, Magnoliopsida, Rosales, Rosaceae. The record is from RefSeq and is a predicted model, not a curated record.
CAACAGAAUGGGUUAGCAGAGAGAGAAAAUAGACACAUUGUUGAAACUGAUGUGACCUUGCUUCAUAAUGCUCAUUUGCCAUUUAGUUUUUGGUAUCAUGCAUGUGCAAUCACUACUACAAAAACCACAUAUAAGGACACCUUUUUUUCACUGAGUCCUAAUAAGCUUAAGAGUUAAGAGGACGAGUUAAAAAAAACAGGAGCAAUAGUUUGCUCGUCCCGCCUAAUUUUUUUUGUCAAAAGUUGAACUUCCCACCUUUUUUUUCCAACACAUAUUGGCACUUUUGGCCUCUAUUUUUCAGUUGACCCCUCGCUCUCUCUGUGCAUCUCUUCCUCGUUGAACACAUUGGAGCUCUGAGCGAAACAGAUCUCACCACAGAUGGGUAACUCUCUCUUCUUCCCGAUCUGUCUAUACCCUUUUCUUUUUGCCAUAUCUAUAUGCUCUAUGCAAAUCAUAAUGUGAUGGUGGCUUUCUCCUAUAUGCUCUUCCCGUUGUCUCUCCCCAAACCUCCAACCAAGCCGCUGUCCCUAGACGCCUCCGACCCCCUCCACAAUGCCAUUGACGUGAACGACGAGUUGUGCGUCGCGCAUGCGAUUAGGAACCUCUGCCAAGGCCCUUCAUCAAUGGUGGAGCCUUUGGUAUGCUCGCUACCUGCGUCAUCCAACCCAUCGAUACGAUCAAGUGCUGAGAAGGCUGGGAGUGAAGGGCGUGGAGACCCAGAACCAAGUCAGUUUUGUUUCCAGAGGUUGCUCUUUGUGCGGCUAUUGUAGCUAAUCUCAACACGAAGAGUUGUAUACUUUGCAUGAUUGAUCAUUAUACAAGUCCAGAUUACUAAAAGACCAAAUUCUCAGAUAAAAAGUUAUAUUUAGUUUGUGGAUCUGCCUGAUUGUGAAAUUGAUGGAGGGUGCGAUUAGGUGCUCCACCAACUAUGUUCCUCUUUCUCCGAUCAGCUUCCUGGAGCGCUCAGCCAUAGUCUACAGAGACAGACCCUCUAUUAUGUAUGGAGACAUCGUCUACACUUGGAGACAGACACUUGAAUGAUGCACCAGACUUGCUUCUGCUCUUGCCCAACUUGGAAUUUCUCGAGGCUAUGUGAAUGCAUUUGGCUCGCCUUCUACUUUUGGGUUCCAAGAUGGCAGCUAAGAAUCCGAAAAAAGGAAUAAAAUGGUUCUUAGAGCUGCUGCUGAGAAGGUUAAUGAGAGAAAAUCUGAAUGUGGUCAUGCCAAGUCAAAGAGGUUGAAAACAAAGCAGCAAUAUCUUGAUGCCUCUUCUAGAAUACAGACUAUGGUCCCGCAUAAGCAACCACUCUCUCUAAGGUACUUGCAAAAGCACAGCUUUGACUCUAUGUUUAUUCUGAAGGCAUUCACUUACAAACACUGUUCUAAAAGUUCAUCAAGUGAUAACAUCUACAGCCAAUCCAAGCAGCACAACAUGGUUUUUCUAUCUGAACCCUUCACUGUCAAGAAAUCAAAUAUACUGUAAACAAUUAGAAUGCUAGUGUAGUCUAUCCCAAAUACUCAAUAUCUUGAAUUAUCCUCAUUUCUAAUCGAGUAUAGCAGGAAGAUUUGAGAUUGUAUUGAACUGAAUAUUGCUAGUUUGAAGAUCGUUUUGGUUGGCAAAGUCAUAUGUAUUGUGAUAUGGACUUGAAUUGGAGUAUAUAUCAUACUUUUAAUAUAUUUUUUUUUUACAA